AUAGUAGUCACUAAAUUCCAGAAGACUUGGCCCAAAUUUCCUUCAUCUAAUUCAAAGGCUCGAUUCAGCAAGGGGCAGAUGAUGCGACUGUCCCAAUUGAAUGAGACAGUGACCACACAAUGUGCUGCUCUUGACACAGCAUGCUGAACAGAGGAGGAAAGAUCUUGGGGAAGGUCAGGUUUUUAUUUAUGUGCUUGUGCUGCCUAUGGAUUUCUAAAUAGAUGUUACAAGUGAUUAUGUCAAAACGUGGUACCUGUUAAGAGAUUUAAAUUUUCUAUUUUGCUAAUUCAGCAAAUAUUCACUGAGCACCUACAAAUGCUAGAGCCUACUCUGGAAGCUUGGGAUACAGCAGUGAAUAUGGUAGGUGGGGUAUGGCAGUGAAUAUGACAGGUGGGAUACGGCAGUGAUUAUGGCAGGUGGGAUACGGCAGUGAUUAUGACAGGUGGGAUACAGCAGUAAAUAUGACAGGUGGGAUACAGCAGUGAUUAUGGCAGGUGGGAUACGGCAGUGAUUAUGACAGGUGGGAUACGGCAGUGAUUAUGGCAGGUGGGAUUUGGCAGUGAAUAUGACAGGUGAGAUACAGCAUGAAUAUGACAGGUGUGGUUCCAGUCCACAAGAGCUUGUAUUGCAGUUAGAGGGAAACAGAAAAUAAAACAAAUCUAGGAAAUCUCACAUAGUGAAAAAUGUUAAAAAUAAAAAAGAAGUGUGCUAGAGAGUGACUAAGGAAUUAUUUCUGUCAUUAUUUACUUACUAUUUGUGAUGAAUAAGCAUUAAUUGGAAGCUUAAUAUUGACCUCUGCUUUCUUUUUCUUCUUAAAAGAGGAAACAGUCUGAUCACUUUUACUAUAAAAAUAAAAAAAAAAAGAAUCCACGGCCUUUCUUGAGCUCUUAUCAUCAAAUUAAAUUUGUAUAUUUUGAGUCCUUUUGAAAGGGAAAAUGGAAAAUGCUGUUAGAGAAGUCCAGUGGGGCAUUAAAGUCAAACGAUGAGUCAGAUUUGGAAAGUAAGCAUUUUGAAAGCUGGGACCAGGUUUUCCUCAAGUCUGCAUCUUGCAUAGCAACUAGCAUAAUUCCUGGCAUUAUUAAUAAUGUAACAGAAAAAAGGGCCAAUAUAUUAACAAGCAGCAAUUCAAAGAAAAAGGAAUCCAAAUGGCUAAUAAACAUAGUAAGAUGCUGGCUGGGCACGAUGACUCACACCUGUAAUCCCAACACUUUGGGAGGCCAAGGCGGGCCGACUGCUUGAGCCCAGGAGUUCAAGACCAGCCUGGGCAACAUGGCAAAACCCAGUCUCUACAAAAAAUGCAAAAAUUACCUGGGUGCGGUGGUGUGCACCUGUAGUCCCAGCUACUCAGGAGGCUGAGGUGGGAGAAUCCUCUGCCUUCCAUAUGAACCCGGGAGGCAGAGGUUGCAAUGAGCCAUGAUCAUGCCACUGCACUCCAGCCGGGAUGACAGAGUAAGACCCUGUCUCAAAAACAGAAACAAAAAACGAAAGAAAACAAAAGUAAUCAACAACAAAACGAUAGUAAAAUGCUAAAACCAACUGUGUAGCAUCCUAUAGGAGACAUAUCAUGACUACAAGAUUAAUGAUAGCUAUAAGGCAUUAACAAGCUCUCACAGGACUGACACUAUGUGCCACUUAGCAGCGUGAGGCCACCUGGCCUGGGGAUUUCCAAGCUGGCCCAGGGAUUUCCAGGACAUAAGGCCACCUCAUCACGGAUGCAAAUCUCGUAAACCUUUAACAAAGCUUACCCUUAUAAGACUAGCUUAACCUCCUCUUAUGAAAGAAACGCCUGAUAAUUGACUGAACUAAAUGCAGGUAGAAGAAAUGGGAAGAAUCUCCCAAACUCUGAGAAUAGUCUCCAGAUGGAGACCCUCCUGGACAGGCAGUCAUCUGACCUCUGAUUGAAUCUGGCCCAUGCCACCCACCUGCUCCCACUAUCCGACUUGUAAGACCACUGCUAAAAUAAAUAGCUUGAACAUCAGAUGGUAUUGAAGUCACAUCUUUGAUGUGAAUCGGACUGAAGGGAAGUUGCUUCUAGGGAAACUGGUUUGCUAGGACCAUCGAAAACCUCCAA
Molecule: long non-coding RNA, 2071 nt
Filed under: Homo sapiens (human)
Lineage: Eukaryota; Metazoa; Chordata; Mammalia; Primates; Hominidae
Description: HSALNT0187524
Source: RNAcentral